GAACAAUUUGACACUCAUUUCGAUCUUUUCUGAAAUGGAAAUAUUAGCGCAUUCAGUUAAUGGUUUAGAGUAAAUAAAUUUAAUUGUUUAAAAGCGUACUGGGGAUGGUGCAGGAGCUGUGUCCUCAGAUGCUGUUGUCACUGUAGGUGGGGCUGGGGGGCUGGGGGGGUUUGGUGCAGGAGCUGGUGCAUGAUGAUGAUGCUUGUGCUUGUGUUUUCUUUUCAUCUUGUGUUUUCCAGGAGCUGGUGCUGGGGAAGGCACUAAUGAUGGUGAGGGGGCUGGUGGUGGAAUAGCUGGUGCUGGCACAGGUGCCGGUGGUGGUGUUGCUGGUGCGGGUGCAGGUACUUCCUUAGCUGGAGCUGGUGCUGGUGGUGGUGUUGCUGGAGCUGGUGCUGGAGACACUUGUGGUGGCGGUGUAGCUGGUGGUGGUAUUGGAGUGGCAGCUGGAGAACUUUGUGGUGGUUGUGGUGGUGGAACUACUGGGGUGGUAGCUGGUGCGACUUUAGGAGAUGGUGAUGAUAUAGGAGUGGUUGCAGUUGGGGGUGUCACUGCACUUGCUGGUGAUUGUGUUGGAGUGGUUGGUGUGGUUGUGGGUGGAGGUGUGGUGGUUGUAG
This 614-nucleotide long non-coding RNA is filed under the name Populus trichocarpa (black cottonwood). Its description in RNAcentral is "long non-coding RNA (PTRI_LNC002546)". Lineage: Eukaryota; Viridiplantae; Streptophyta; Magnoliopsida; Malpighiales; Salicaceae. The record is from RNAcentral.